CUACGGGAGGCAGCAGUGGGGAAUUUUGGACAAUGGGGGCAACCCUGAUCCAGCCAUUCCGCGUGAGUGAAGAAGGCCUUCGGGUUGUAAAGCUCUUUCGGCAGGAACGAAACGGUGAGGGUUAAUACCCCUUAUCAAUGACGGUACCUGAAGAAGAAGCACCGGCUAACUACGUGCCAGCAGCCGCGGUAAUACGUAGGGUGCGAGCGUUAAUCGGAAUUACUGGGCGUAAAGCGUGCGCAGGCGGUUUUGUAAGACAGAUGUGAAAUCCCCGGGCUCAACCUGGGAACUGCGUUUGUGACUGCAAGACUCGAGUGUGGCAGAGGGGGGUGGAAUUCCACGUGUAGCAGUGAAAUGCGUAGAGAUGUGGAGGAACACCGAUGGCGAAGGCAGCCCCCUGGGUCAACACUGACGCUCAUGCACGAAAGCGUGGGUAGCAAACAGGAUUAGAUACCCCUGUAGUCCG
This 466-nucleotide ribosomal RNA is filed under the name uncultured bacterium. RNAcentral describes it as "bacterial SSU rRNA". It matches the Rfam family "Bacterial small subunit ribosomal RNA", at positions 339 to 797 of the family's 1533-position model. The record is from RNAcentral.